Molecule: ribosomal RNA, 331 nt
Filed under: uncultured eukaryote
Lineage: Eukaryota
Description: partial 18S ribosomal RNA
Rfam family: Eukaryotic small subunit ribosomal RNA
Source: RNAcentral
CCCUUAGAUGUUCUGGGCUGCACGCGCGCUACACUGAUGCAUCCAACAAGUUUUCUCCCUUGUUCGGUAGGACUGGGUAAUCUUUUGAGUAUGCAUCGUGAAGGGGAUAGAUUAUUGCAAUUAUUAAUCUUCAACGAGGAAUUCCUAGUAAGCGCGAGUCAUCAGCUCGCGUUGACUACGUCCCUGCCCUUUGUACACACCGCCCGUCGCUCCUACCGAUUGAAUGGUCCGGUGAAGUGUUCGGAUCGCGCCGACGUGGGCGGUUCGCCGCCGGCGACGUCGCGAGAAGUCCACUGAACCUUAUCAUUUAGAGGAAGGAGAAGUCGUAACA